GAUGAACGCUGGCGGCGCGCCUAAUACAUGCAAGUCGAGCGAAGACACGAGGAGCUUGCUUUUCUUGCGUUAGUGGCGGACGGGUGAGUAACACGUGGGUAACCUGCCUAGAAGACUGGGACAACUGCGGGAAACGACAGCUAAUACCGGAUAAGAUAACGGAUCUGAUUGUUUAUUAGGGAAAGACGUUUUUUCUGUCAAGUAUAGAUUGGUCCGCGCUUCAUUAGCUAGUUGGUAAGGGAACGGCUUACGAAGGCAACGAUGCGUAGCCGACGUGAGAGGGUGAUCGGCCACACUGGCACUGAGACAGGGUCCAGACUCCUACGGGAGGCAGCAGUAGGGACUCUUACGCGAUGGGCGAAAGCCUGACAGAGCAACGCCGCGUGAGUGCUGAAGGUCUUCGGAUCGUAAAACUCUGUUAUUAGGGAAGAACAAAUGUGUAAGUAACUAUGCACGUCUUGACGGUACCUAAUCAGAAAGCCACGGCUAACUACGUG
This 497-nucleotide ribosomal RNA is filed under the name uncultured bacterium. RNAcentral's name for it is "partial 16S ribosomal RNA". It matches the Rfam family "Bacterial small subunit ribosomal RNA", at positions 28 to 507 of the family's 1533-position model. The record is from RNAcentral.